Molecule: ribosomal RNA, 2204 nt
Filed under: Triticum aestivum (bread wheat)
Lineage: Eukaryota; Viridiplantae; Streptophyta; Magnoliopsida; Poales; Poaceae
Description: partial small subunit ribosomal RNA
Source: RNAcentral
GUGUAGGGCUAUACACCUUAUACACCCAACAGGGUGCUACGGGUGUAGCUUGGGUGGAUAGAUUGAUUGAUCGGACCCGUGCGGCGCCCCUAAUCCCGAGCGGCGGUCGGUACCGGCGCGGCGGCACCGGCCGGAUAUGGGCAGCAGGUGGAGGAGGUACCGGUUGGAUAACUGAAGCAGCUGGAGGAGAUACCGGCGUGCUCGCAGUAGAAGGUAAGGGCGUAACCCGCGACGUCGUGGCGGCAGAUAGAGGCAGCCGACGGCCGGCGGGGUCUCGGCGGUACAUGGAGGCGUCGGCGUUGAGAAGGGUGGUGGUGUAUUAAGAGAAGAGAGUCGUAAGGACGACGGCCGCGGUGACCUUUCCUGACGCUCUUCUCCGGAUGGGGUCCGUAGUUGGUUCUUAGAUCUUCCUUUUCAAAGUUCUUCUCUUAGACGUUAACUGUUCUCUUCCUUCUAAGGACGACAAAGGGGGAGAAAGUUAGGUAUGUUUCGAGCUCCAAAAUUGACUUAAAAUACGUACAUACGCGACGACGAUACACACACUACAAUUCAAGGACGUACUAAUUGACGAUCUAGGAAAACUCUCUGAUUCUUAUCACCAACAUGACAGGGACGAGAGACAAAGAGACGUACUGUUUAUUAGAUAAGAGACAAAGACAUACUUGAUAUUAAUUCACAGACAUACCUGAUCCACCCGUAACAUGACAAAUUUAUAACGGAGAGAUAAGCAGAACGAUGACCUCUCAAUUAAUAUGCCCGUCAAUUAAUAUCACAACAAACAACCACGACGUUCAUGUUGCCGUGAUCUCGUGAUGAUCCGGUUCCGUACAGCACGUACGGCACGUACGGCCGACAUGCACGCGUAAUACGUGUGCUCGACAAUUUCGAGGGUUCCUUGGUCACUACCAUCGAGUGGUGGAGUUCUACUGUUACGCUUGCAUAAAGUUGUCCGUGCGGGUGGGGUGCCCUCUUUUACCGUCUGUGUCCUCUGCUCGACUUCGACGACCCGUACACCCGCUCGGGCAUGCACCAGUCCCACGUCGAGCGCGAGGCGGAGUUCCCGCACUCGAUGCUCAUGCAGCUCCUCCUGGAGCGGUUGUUCUCGCUCGAGAAGGAGGCGAGGUUGGGCCACGCGUUCUGCCAGGGCCACGAGUAGGUGUUGCCGUUCGGGCAGACGCUCAGGGUCCAGUAGGACGUCAUGUAGCUGCUCCGGAAGCGGCCGCAGCCGGGCAGGGAGGAGGGGCGGCUGGGGAUGCUCGCGCGGCAGCGCGCGAAGACCCGGCGGAUGCAGCUUCUGUUCGACGACCGCGGCACCCCCUUCCACAAGUCCCACUGCUGGCUGCUCCUCUCCCGCCUCACCUGCUCCGUCUGCCACCGCCGGCACCCAGUAGACCUCCUUCCGGACUCCCUCACGAGGUUCCCCUUCCCGAAGAAGCCGCCGCUGACACAGCCCAUGCAGCUGCAGGACGAGCCAUCGUACCACGGCACCCACGCGCGGUGGCUCUCCGAGAGGCGGCUGUUCAAUUAGCUGCGGCCGUCCCGGGGCGACGACCGCCGUACCUACCUCGCGUAAUCGCUCGAGCUGCGCCGGUUCCGCCAGAAGGUCCUGCAGCUGUCCCACCAACUCAUGCGGCCCCCUUAUGUCCGGGCCGAAAGGCGGCGCCGACGUUCGUGAGUUAUUUCGCCGUACCGCCGGACCACUCGUCGACUACGUUCCUCUUUUAUCGGUUCACACCUCAAUCGACCUUAAUGAUUUUACCGGUGCAAAGACAAAGAAAAAGAGCUUAUUACCGCUGUAUUAUACGUUCAUACACUAUAAUGGUCAAAUUUUUGAACACACCAACAGCACUGUCGAGGAGGAGACAAAAAAUUCCCUGUAAAUGUAAAGACAGGAACCGAAACAGUGCAAUCACCCCAAACAGAAAACCAAAAAUCCAACGAGUUAAAACGGUAACUUUCUAAUAUACAAUUAUACUGAUCGUGUAUACAGGCACGCAACGUUGCCGUCUUUAUUGUUUUAAUACAAGUUAAAAACACUACUAACAUAGACGUCUUGUGCAAAUCAAGUACGUUUGAAACUAGAAUUGGUUCUAGGUACCUUUGUAGCGAUUUUGUAAAAAUCACACCAUGAUUACUAUGUGGAGAUUAAUUAACAAGGACAGAACAGUUCGUAGAGUAGCUUUAAAAUUUUUUUAUAAAAGGAA